GUUGAUUACAUAAAAACCGUGAAAAGCUGCUAAAAUAUGAGAAUCUUUGAAUAACUCUUUGACCAAAGAGAGCUACAGAAUACAUGCUAGUCUCUUGAAUAUAUGAUAACAAGAAUCGAUAGUGAGCAAGCCAUCACUUUCUAGAUUGAAAGAAAUAUAGGGCUAUUAAGGAGGGAGUCAUUAACGGAACGAGCGAGGGAGAAUAGACCGGCGGUUACCGGCGCCGGAAGCAUCGGCCGGCGGAAGAAGUGAAGUAGCAGUGGUGAUUGCUUGGGGGCUCCAAA
RNAcentral lists this unclassified non-coding RNA (284 nucleotides) under Hevea brasiliensis (rubber tree). The record is from RNAcentral. Lineage: Eukaryota; Viridiplantae; Streptophyta; Magnoliopsida; Malpighiales; Euphorbiaceae.